GACGAACGCUGGCGGCGUGCCUAAUACAUGCAAGUCGAACGCAUUUUCUUUCACCGUAGCUUGCUACACCGAAAGAAAAUGAGUGGCGAACGGGUGAGUAACACGUAGGUAACCUGCCCAUCAGCGGGGGAUAACACUUGGAAACAGGUGCUAAUACCGCAUAAUUCCAUUUACUGCAUGGUAGAUGGAUGAAAGGCGCUUUUGCGUCACUGAUGGAUGGACCCGCGGUGCAUUAGCUAGUUGGUGGGGUAACGGCCUACCAAGGCUGCGAUGCAUAGCCGACCUGAGAGGGUGAUCGGCCACACUGGGACUGAGACACGGCCCAGACUCCUACGGGAGGCAGCAGUAGGGAAUCUUCGGCAAUGGACGCAAGUCUGACCGAGCAACGCCGCGUGAGUGAAGAAGGUUUUCGGAUCGUAAAACUCUGUUGUUAGAAAAGAACAAGGAUGAGAGUGGAAAGUUCAUCCCUUGACGGUAUCUAACCAGAAAGCCACGGCUAACUACGCG
RNAcentral lists this ribosomal RNA (507 nucleotides) under uncultured bacterium. RNAcentral describes it as "partial 16S ribosomal RNA". It matches the Rfam family "Bacterial small subunit ribosomal RNA", at positions 28 to 507 of the family's 1533-position model. The record is from RNAcentral.